UAAACAUGCAGUCGAGCGGACAAAGAAGAGCUUGCUCUUCGGCGGUUAGCGGCGGACGGGUGAAUAACACGUAGGCAACCUGCCUGUACGACUGGGAUAACUCCGGGAAACCGGAGCUAAUACCGGAUACGUUUUUCAGACCGCAUGGUCUGAAAGAGAAAGACCUUUGGUCACGUACAGAUGGGCCUGCGGCGCAUUAGCUAGUUGGUGGGGUAACGGCCUACCAAGGCGACGAUGCGUAGCCGACCAGAGAGGGUGAUCGGCCACACUGGGACUGAGACACGGCCCAGACUCCUACGGGAGGCAGCAGUAGGGAAUCUUCCGCAAUGGACGAAAGUCUGACGGAGCAACGCCGCGUGAACGAUGAAGGUUUUCGGAUCGUAAAGUUCUGUUGUUAGGGAAGAACCGCCGGGAUGACCUCCCGGUCUGACGGUACCUAACGAGAAAGCCCCGGCUAACUACGUGCCAGCAGCCGCGGUAAUACGUAGGGGGCAAGCGUUGUCCGGAAUUAUUGGGCGUAAAGCGCGCGCAGGCGGCUUCUUAAGUCAGGUGUGAAAGCCCACGGCUCAACCGUGGAGGGCCACUUGAAACUGGAAGGCUUGAGUGCAGGAGAGGAGAGCGGAAUUCCAC
RNAcentral lists this ribosomal RNA (630 nucleotides) under Aneurinibacillus aneurinilyticus. RNAcentral's name for it is "bacterial SSU rRNA". It matches the Rfam family "Bacterial small subunit ribosomal RNA", at positions 50 to 672 of the family's 1533-position model. Lineage: Bacteria; Bacillati; Bacillota; Bacilli; Caryophanales; Paenibacillaceae. The record is from RNAcentral.